AUUGAACGCUGGCGGCAUGCCUAACACAUGCAAGUCGAACGGCAGCACGGCAGUAGCAAUACUGUGGGUGGCGAGUGGCGGACGGGUGAGGAAUACGUCGGAAUCUGCCCAGUCGUGGGGGAUAACUAGCCGAAAGGUUAGCUAAUACCGCAUACGACCGAGAGGUGAAAGCGGGGGACCGCAAGGCCUCGCGCGAUUGGAUGAGCCGACGUCGGAUUAGCUAGUUGGUGGGGUAAAGGCCCACCAAGGCGACGAUCCGUAGCUGAUCUGAGAGGAUGAUCAGCCACACUGGAACUGAGACACGGUCCAGACUCCUACGGGAGGCAGCAGUGGGGAAUAUUGGACAAUGGGCGCAAGCCUGAUCCAGCAAUGCCGCGUGUGUGAAGAAGGCCUCGGUUGUAAG
This 403-nucleotide ribosomal RNA is filed under the name uncultured bacterium. RNAcentral's name for it is "bacterial SSU rRNA". It matches the Rfam family "Bacterial small subunit ribosomal RNA", at positions 29 to 429 of the family's 1533-position model. The record is from RNAcentral.